Long non-coding RNA from Galeopterus variegatus (Sunda flying lemur), 1428 nucleotides. RefSeq lists it as uncharacterized. The record is from RefSeq and is a predicted model, not a curated record. The transcript has 4 exons. NCBI's taxonomy places the organism in Eukaryota, Metazoa, Chordata, Mammalia, Dermoptera, Cynocephalidae.
CCUACGCUUUUCCUCUCCGGAGACUCGGGGCAAGCGGGACCCUGAGCUGGUAGGGGCGGCUAUUUUGGAGCCACGGGUGCAGAUUUGGAGCUGAAGUGGACGGGAAGCUGGAGUGAACAGGUUUUCCAGCAAAAUGAUGCGAUGGGCGGCCGAGAGGAAGAUACAUUCCCGCAUUCAAAUGUACUGUAGCGGAUUGAGCAUAAUCCCUCUCUGAAGAUACAGAGAAAUAAUGAUCCCAGAAUCUCACCUCUUUGGUAUGUUAACCAUGAAGGGCGUAAGUGACCGAUCAGUGAAAUAGAGCACUUUAGUGCAGGCGCUGCUGACAGCUGGAGAGCUCUGUGAGUGAGGCAACUCUGCAAUCAGAGAGACUUUGUGGUUAGAAUGUUCAAUUUGCUUGAAACCACCCCUCAUUUCCAGUUCUUAAAAAUGUCCCAGGAGAAUGAAGCUGCCAGAGGUCACAGAACAGCUCUCACCCCCUUGCCUAACACCAUGUUCAGAGGGUAUUAUCCACAGGAAGUCACCACUAGGACCACGAGGACAAGAGGUGCUCCAGACAUGGACACUGUCACUGUCACAAGGACUCAUCCCAGGACAUGCAGGCGCUCCAUGAGGCUAGAGAUGCCCUGCUCCAAGCUGUCAAUGGUGUGGUGCUGAGGAUCAUGGCCACUGAAGCUGUUGCGCAGGCUGCGGAGAGCAUCUCGAACAAGCUGCAGGUCACUAGUCUGUGGGUAAAAAUAAGGUGCUGUUGGCAUGGUGAAGUGCCAUAUUAUUAACCAUGUCCCAACUGCUGACCUUGAGAAGAUAAAGGAGAGAGGAUUCCAGAAUAGAUCUUUCAUUUUUGUGGAGCUGUGAACUGUAGGAAAUUCUCCUCUGCAGAAGCAGGGCUACUGUAUGCCCACUCAUUCUUAAUUUUUGAUAGCAAGUGCUUCAUACCUUUACACACACAACAGAUGCAAAAAUUAGGGACCUAGAAUAUAAAAGGCCUAGUCUACUGGCAAUGGCUGAGCCACUCUUCUGAUUUCAGCUAGAAGUGUCAGGGCUAUAUUCAAAUCCUAGGAACCUACCCCUCUGUGGGUGAUUGAAGAAGCUCCUUUUCCUGCCGUUGGAAGGAGAAAACCAUUGCUUUGAGAGUUGUGACUGUUGUAAUUGGUCACCUAUAUCAGGAAGAAAAGAUGCUUGUUAAAGGGAGAAAUCUAAACCAAGACGUCCCGUCUUACUUUUCUUCUCUACAUUUAUCACUUCCUAUCAUAGUAUAUGUCAUAGUAUAUAAUUAUUUGUUUAAUGGCUCUCUGUAUUAAAAUGUAAGCUUUAUAAGUGUUUAUUUUUUCCCUUUUGUCCACUGCUGUAUCCCUAGCACUUGAUACUUAAUAGGCAUUGCUGAAUGUAGAAUGAACUUUGUUUCCAUAAUAAAAAAAGAGCAACUAAUAA